GCGAAGAAUCUUCCGCAAUGGGGGAAACCCUGACGGAGCGACGCCGCGUGGGCGAUGAAGGUCGUAAGAUUGUAAAGCCCUUUUAUCGGUGAAGAAUAAGCGGGGGAGUGGAAAGCCCUCGUGAUGACGUUAGCCGAUGAAUAAGCCCCGGCUAAUUACGUGCCAGCAGCCGCGGUAAUACGUAUGGGGCGAGCGUUGUUCGGAGUUAUUGGGCGUAAAGGGCGUGUAGGCGGCUCAUCAAGUCUGGUGUGAAACCCCUGGGCCUAACCCGGGGCAUGCGCUGGAAACUGGUGGGCUUGAGUUCUGGAGGGGAAGCUGGAAUUCCAGGUGUAGGGGUGAAAUCUGUAGAUAUCUGGAAGAACACCGGUGGCGAAGGCGAGCUUCUAUCCGCGGACUGACGCUGAGGCGCGAAAGCGUGGGGAGCAAACAGGAUUAGAUACCCGAGUAGUCC
Molecule: ribosomal RNA, 451 nt
Filed under: uncultured bacterium
Lineage: Bacteria
Description: bacterial SSU rRNA
Rfam family: Bacterial small subunit ribosomal RNA
Source: RNAcentral